AGACGCGAAGGCGCGAGCCGGAGCAAACCUCNUAAAAGACGUCCCAGUUCAGACUGCAGGCUGCAACCCGCCUGCACGAAGUUGGAAUUGCUAGUAAUCGCGGAUCAGCAUGCCGCGGUGAAUACGUUCCCGGGCUUUGUACACACCGCCCGUCAAACCAUGGGAGUCGGUAACACCCGAAGCCUGUAGUCUAACCGCAAGGAGGACGCAGUCGAAGGUGGGAUUGAUGACUGGGGUGAAGUCGUAACAAGGUACC
This 256-nucleotide ribosomal RNA is filed under the name uncultured bacterium. RNAcentral's name for it is "partial 16S ribosomal RNA". It matches the Rfam family "Bacterial small subunit ribosomal RNA", at positions 1245 to 1500 of the family's 1533-position model. The record is from RNAcentral.